AUUGAACGCUGGCGGCAGGCCUAACACAUGCAAGUCGAGCGGAUGAAGGGAGCUUGCUCCUGGAUUCAGCGGCGGACGGGUGGGUAAUGCCUAGGAAUCUGCCUGGUAGUGGGGGAUAACGUCCGGAAACGGGCGCUAAUACCGCAUACGUCCUGAGGGAGAAAGUGGGGGAUCUUCGGACCUCACGCUAUCAGAUGAGCCUAGGUCGGAUUAGCUAGUUGGUGGGGUAAAGGCCUACCAAGGCGACGAUCCGUAACUGGUCUGAGAGGAUGAUCAGUCACACUGGAACUGAGACACGGUCCAGACUCCUACGGGAGGCAGCAGUGGGGAAUAUUGGACAAUGGGCGAAAGCCUGAUCCAGCCAUGCCGCGUGUGUGAAGAAGGUCUUCGGAUUGUAAAGCACUUUAGGUUGGGAGGAAGGGCAGUAAGUUAAUACCUUGCUGUUUUGACGGUACCAACAGAAUAAGCACCGGCUAACUUCGUG
Molecule: ribosomal RNA, 484 nt
Filed under: uncultured bacterium
Lineage: Bacteria
Description: partial 16S ribosomal RNA
Rfam family: Bacterial small subunit ribosomal RNA
Source: RNAcentral